GACGAACGCUGGCGGCGUGCCUAAUGCAUGCAAGUCGAGCGGGCUACAGUCUUCGGAUUGUAGUUUAGCGGCGAACGGGUGAGUAACACGUAGGUAAUCUACCCUUCAGAGGAGGACAACCUCAGGAAACUGAGGCUAAACCUCCGUACGUUCAUGUGCAGGGAUGCAGAUGAAGAAAGAGUUACCCCUAGAGGGUAGCUGCUGAAGGAUGAGCCUGCGGCCCAUCAGGUAGUUGGUGAGGUAACGGCUCACCAAGCCGAAGACGGGUAACCGGUCUGAGAGGAUGUCCGGUCACACUGGGACUGAGACACGGCCCAGACUCCUACGGGAGGCAGCAGCAGGGAAUCUUGGGCAAUGGGCGAAAGCCUGACCCAGCGACGCCGCGUGGAGGAAGAAGUCCUUCGGGCGUAACUCCUGGACUGGGGACGAGGAAGGACGGUACCCGAGUAGAAAGGGACGGCUAACUACGUG
This 471-nucleotide ribosomal RNA is filed under the name uncultured bacterium. Its description in RNAcentral is "bacterial SSU rRNA". It matches the Rfam family "Bacterial small subunit ribosomal RNA", at positions 28 to 507 of the family's 1533-position model. The record is from RNAcentral.